CCUACGGGAGGCUGCAGUGAGGAAUAUUGGUCAAUGGGCGAGAGCCUGAACCAGCCAAGUCGCGUGAGGGAGUACUGCCCUAUGGGUUGUAAACCUCUUUUGUCGGGGAGCAAAAGCCGGACGUGUCCGGCUGUGAGAGUACCCGAAGAAAAAGCAUCGGCUAACUCCGUGCCAGUAGCCGCGGUAAUACGGAGGAUGCGAGCGUUAUCCGGAUUUAUUGGGGUUCAGGGGUGCGCAGGCGGAUUUUUAAGUCAGCGGUCAAAUCGUGGGGUUCAACACCAUCCAGCCGUUGCAACUGGGAUCUAGAGUGUGCGAGAGGUAUGCGGAAUGCGUGGUGUAGCGGUGAAAUGCAUAGAUAUCACGCAGAACCCCGAUUGCGAAGGCAGCAUACCGGUGCACAACUGACGCUCAGGCACGAAAGCGUGGGUAUCGAACAGGAUUAGAUACCCGGGUAGUC
This 457-nucleotide ribosomal RNA is filed under the name uncultured bacterium. RNAcentral's name for it is "partial 16S ribosomal RNA". It matches the Rfam family "Bacterial small subunit ribosomal RNA", at positions 338 to 795 of the family's 1533-position model. The record is from RNAcentral.